This is a long non-coding RNA of Sciurus carolinensis (gray squirrel), 2215 nucleotides long. RefSeq lists it as uncharacterized. The record is from RefSeq and is a predicted model, not a curated record. The transcript has 9 exons. NCBI's taxonomy places the organism in Eukaryota, Metazoa, Chordata, Mammalia, Rodentia, Sciuridae.
CUGCUUCAGCGCUGGCGGAGACGUAUUGCAUGGACCAGUGCUGCCGUGGUAGUCCGACCGCCGCCCUGCCCUCUGGGAAGACCACCCUCGGGAAAGGCAGCCGCCCUCCAGUAAGGCUGCUGUCCCCGUGUAACGCCGCCCUCUGCUGCACUCAGGACUGCUCUACAUUAUGCCUGUGCCUUUGGCCAAGCAGAAAUGGUGGAUUUUCUAAUAAAGAAGAAUUGUAAGAUCGACCUCAGUGAUCUUGAUCGCAACAUACCAUUCAUGAAGUACCUCAAGAUUCACAUGCUUCCCGUAAGUAACUCAGGAUUCACAUGCUUCCUGCAAGCACAUGAAGCCUACCAUCAUAAUCAAAGAUUCUCUUCCAUAUAAAUCAAAACUGAAGAAGGAAACAAGGACACUCAAAUCAGGGAGGGGAGGAUUGAAACCAGGCCUUUUCACAUGCUGCACAGUUGCUCUACCACUGAGAUUGGCUGCCAGCCUUUUCUUUAAAGUUGAUGAUUCUGUAAAAUUCUUUUAUCUGAUUUGUUCAGAGAAAAUACUUAAUUACUUCACUCAAAAUAGGAAGAUGUUUAAAGAAAAAUCACAUGAUAAACAAGCAACUAAAAUAGCUCAGAUUCUGUUAUCCAAUUGAGACAUCUGAAUGCAGAUUCUUCAUUUCACAUAAUAACAAAACUUAAAAAUAUUCACUGCUCACAGUGUUCACUACAUGCAGAAAAAUGGCAAAACUGGAAACUGAGCUUUGUGAACUUAAAAAGGAGUAUUCUGAAGCAAAAAUAGUGAUAUCAAAGGCUGCACAGGAAAAUGUAGUUUUAAAAGAAAAACUCCAAAAUUUGAGAUGGGCCUUAGAAAAAGAGAAGAGAAGAAACAAUUACCUGUUAUUUGAACAAAAUAAGGACCAAUUAAAAGAAGAAGAAAAAGAAUACAAUAAAGAAGUGAAAAAGAAACUUGAAAUAUCUGUUACAAAAUCUGAUGCAGAAUUAAGUACUACAAGAAAUAAGUUUAAUCAGGUUUCUACUAGUGAUAUGACAGAAAACAAGCUGUGGCAUGAAUAUGACAGGAUGAAGGAUAGCUCUAUGAUGAUACUGGAAAGAGAGAAAAUAAAAUAUCAAAACCAGGAAAAGAAAUGCCUUGAUAUUAAUGAAAUUUUAAGAGAAAAGAGCAAUGACCUUCAAAGGAUACACAGACUGAAUGAGGAAACACUUACAAAAACAUCAUUCCAGCAUAAUGGACAGUUCGAUAUUCCAAAAGUGGAAAAUGCAAAGCAAAAUUUUAUACUGGAGAGUGAGAAAAAAAAAUGCAGAAAAAAUGGAAACAGAGGUCAAAUUAUACCCUGCCACACUGGCUGCUGCCCCACAUCAUUGUGUUGAAAGUCAAACACCAAAAAGACAUCUAGAACUUGCUUUCCAAAGAGCAAGAGAUGGGGGCUUUAGUUCACAGGAAAAGAAGAAUUUUGAUGUAUAUAACUUAAAAGAUAGUAGUGAUAUUCCUUCCCAACAAAAUUCGAAGUCUGAAAUAAAAAACAGUGACCUUGAAAAUGAGAUUGGUCAGAAAAGAGAUACCCUCAGAGUAAGGACUUUGAUUUCAGAACAAGAAAAAAAGGCUCCUAAAACAAAGAAAGUGCCAAAUGAAGGGGAUGGAAUGCAAGUGUCAAAAUGAACAAAGGAAAAUGAGUGAAUACAGCAGAGAGCAGAAAUUUUCUAUAAAGGAGAUAUUAUCUAAACUCCAAAGUAAAAUUACACUGCUUCAACAGCUAUUGCAUGACCUUUCGCAAAAAAGAAGAAAAGCAAAAUAAUGCAGUCAUUAAUAUCCAAAACCAAUUUCAUGAUAUUAUAAAACGAUUUCAAGCUCAGACUGAAAGACACAAGCGCCUGCUAAAAACUAGAAAUAUGAAAUUAUUCAAUGAAAAUAAACAUUUAAAGGAAAAAUGUCAACAUAAAAAUAGAAACAUAAAAAGAAGUACGUAUCAAGCAAGUGAACUAUUUCAGGUAUCUUUGUAGGAAUACUCAAAGUGAUCUUUGGUUAUGGUUAAAUGUUGCAUCUAGAUAAAGUAAAAAUUCACAUAAAUAUGUUUUCUGUCUCAACACAAAAACAUAACCUGGUUUCCCCCCAAUACAACAUACACCUUAUUUCCAACACAAAUAAAUCAUCUAUGUUUGAAGUAAGAAGCCUUCCAAUUUUUCUGCUCUGAUUCUUAUACAUCGUGUACAUAUUU